This 1431-nucleotide ribosomal RNA is filed under the name Triticum aestivum (bread wheat). RNAcentral describes it as "partial small subunit ribosomal RNA". Lineage: Eukaryota; Viridiplantae; Streptophyta; Magnoliopsida; Poales; Poaceae. The record is from RNAcentral.
AUGUGCAUGCCAAAAUAUAGAGGAGGCUUGGGAUUCCGGGAUAUGGAGUUAUUCAACCUAGCAUUACUGGCUCGUCAAGCGUGGAGAAUAACACAAGAUCAAGACUCCCUGAGUUCACGCCUACUCAAGGCGGUGUAUUUUUCGGCUAGUGAUUUCAUGCUGCGACCAAUAUGUGCAGCGGCUGCAAACCCACCUGAGAAGGUAGCUGACUUUAUAGUUGCAGCAACAAAAGAAUGGGAUGUUCAGAAGCUAAACACUUAUAUGCUGCCUAUGGACGUCAAGGUGGUACGACAGAUUCCAUUAAGUCACUCAAACUCUCAUGAUUUCUGGGCAUGGCACUACGAUCAACACGGAAUUUUUACGGUGCGAUCUUGUUAUAAGUUUCUCGUUGAUACUAAGUUACAAAGAGAAGCUUGGCUGAGUGGUGACACGGGGAACUCCAAUUUACAGCAGGAGGAGAAGGGUUGGAAGAAGCUAUAGAGCACAAAAGUACCACCAAAGUUACGUAUGUUUGCUUGGAGGUUGGCCAAGGCAUCAUUGCCGACAGGAGAGGUACGUGCACAACUGCAAAUGGCCACCACACCGGUCUGCUCCCUGUGUAACGCAGCAAAUGAUACAUGGAGACAUUCUUUACUGGAUUGUAAUAUGGCAAAAAGUGUGUGGGCGCUGCGGGAUGAUGAUUCUACCCUUCCGAUAUAUGGAGAUGAAACACAAGAUGCGAAGUUAUGGUUAUUCGGGAUGAGCGAGACUCUGUCCAACAAGAAGUUUAUCGAGGUGUUAGUCACUUUGUGGGCUAUAUGGUAUGCCCGGAGGAAAGCAAUUCAUGAGCAUGAAUUCCAAAGUCCAUUGUCGACGCAUCUAUUCAUCAGCAGAUACUUGGAGGAGCUUCAGGUGUUAGAUGUGCAGACCAAGACCGGGCAUGGGGCAGCUCGGGCGGUGCCUCGAUGGGUUCCUCCUCUCACAGGACAUUGCAAGAUCAACGUCGACGGAGCUGUGGCAAAGACGCAAUGCAGAGGGGCUGUUGGGGCCGUAUGCCGGGAUGAACAAGGGCGUUUCCAAGGGGCCUCAGCAGUGGUGUUUGAGGGCAUCUCUGAUGCAGAAACCCUGGAAGCACUUGCAUGUCGAGAAGCACUAGCGUUGAGUGAGGACCUGGACCUGGAAAGAGUACAUAUUGCUACUGACUGUCUGAGAGUCGUCCGGGAAAUCGAAGAACCAAAGAACCUUGGUGGACAUUGUAUGGUGUUUCAUGAGAUCAAAGAACGAAGCAAUUUAUUUAGUGCUUGUCUUUUUAAUCAUGAACAGCGCGAAUGUAAUGGGGAGCCUCAUAGACUAGCACGUAUGGCUACGUCCCUUGAUAUAGGUAGGCAUGUGUGGCUUGAUGCACCACCUGCUGAUUUAUGUAUCCCUGUAAACAUUGAACUUAGGCAAUAA